This 433-nucleotide ribosomal RNA is filed under the name uncultured bacterium. Its description in RNAcentral is "partial 16S ribosomal RNA". It matches the Rfam family "Bacterial small subunit ribosomal RNA", at positions 29 to 507 of the family's 1533-position model. The record is from RNAcentral.
AACGAACGCUCGCGGCAUGCCUAACACAUGCAAGUCGAACGAGACCUUCGGGUCUAGUGGCGCACGGGUGCGUAACGCGUGGGAACCUGCCCUUAGGUUCGGAAUAACUCCCCGAAAGGGGUGCUAAUACCGGAUAAUGUCUUCGGACCAAAGAUUUAUCGCCUUUGGAUGGGCCCGCGUUGGAUUAGCUAGUUGGUAGGGUAAAAGCCUACCAAGGCGACGAUCCAUAGCUGGUCUGAGAGGAUGAUCAGCCACACUGGGACUGAGACACGGCCCAGACUCCUACGGGAGGCAGCAGUGGGGAAUAUUGGACAAUGGGCGAAAGCCUGAUCCAGCAAUGCCGCGUGAGUGAUGAAGGCCUUAGGGUUGUAAAGCUCUUUUACCCGGGAUGAUAAUGACAGUACCGGGAGAAUAAGCGCCGGCUAACUCCGUG